RNAcentral lists this ribosomal RNA (497 nucleotides) under uncultured bacterium. RNAcentral describes it as "partial 16S ribosomal RNA". It matches the Rfam family "Bacterial small subunit ribosomal RNA", at positions 28 to 507 of the family's 1533-position model. The record is from RNAcentral.
GACGAACGCUGGCGGCGUGCCUAAUACAUGCAAGUUGAGCGAUGAAGAUUGGUGCUUGCACCAAUUUGAAGAGCAGCGAACGGGUGAGUAACGCGUGGGGAAUCUGCCUUUGAGCGGGGGACAACAUUUGGAAACGAAUGCUAAUACCGCAUAACAACUUUAAACAUAAGUUUUAAGUUUGAAAGAUGCAAUUGCAUCACUCAAAGAUGAUCCCGCGUUGUAUUAGCUAGUUGGUGAGGUAAAGGCUCACCAAGGCGAUGAUACAUAGCCGACCUGAGAGGGUGGUCGGCCACAUUGGGACUGAGACACGGCCCAAACUCCUACGGGAGGCAGCAGUAGGGAAUCUUCGGCAAUUGACGAAAGUCUGACCGAGCAACGCCGCGUGAGUGAAGAAGGUUUUCGGAUCGUAAAACUCUGUUGGUAGAGAAGAACGUUGGUGAGAGUGGAAAGCUCAUCAAGUGACGGUAACUACCCAGAAAGGGACGGCUAACUACGUG